RNAcentral lists this transfer RNA (68 nucleotides) under Allogalathea elegans. RNAcentral's name for it is "tRNA-Ile". The record is from RNAcentral. Lineage: Eukaryota; Metazoa; Arthropoda; Malacostraca; Decapoda; Galatheidae.
AAUAAGAUGCCUGAUUUAAAAGGGUAACAGUGAUAUUGUUAAUUAUGUAAACUCAUUUACUCUUAUUA